GAAAGAUGAAAAGAACUUUGAAAAGAGAGUAAAAUAGUACGUGAAAUUGUUGAAAGGGAAACGAUUGAAGUCAGUCGUACCGACGGAAAAUCAGCUCUUCGAGCGCGAACUUGUGGGCGUACGUGAGCUUUAACCGGCCUCGUUGUUUGCGAUGUUUGUGCUCUUUGGGUGUACUUUUUCGUAUGGUUGGCCAACGUCAGUCUCGGUUACCAUAAAAUGAUUGGAGGAAUGUAGCUUCGAUCUUGUAUUGAAGUGUUAUA
This 260-nucleotide ribosomal RNA is filed under the name uncultured Dominikia. Its description in RNAcentral is "partial large subunit ribosomal RNA". It matches the Rfam family "Eukaryotic large subunit ribosomal RNA", at positions 359 to 628 of the family's 3401-position model. Lineage: Eukaryota; Fungi; Glomeromycota; Glomeromycetes; Glomerales; Glomeraceae. The record is from RNAcentral.